This 224-nucleotide long non-coding RNA is filed under the name Haliotis rubra (blacklip abalone). RNAcentral describes it as "uncharacterized LOC124289448, transcript variant X2". Lineage: Eukaryota; Metazoa; Mollusca; Gastropoda; Lepetellida; Haliotidae. The record is from RNAcentral.
GUGAUGAAGUAGCAUACUGUACUUUAAGGUCCUAUAGAGUGAUGAAGUAGCAUACUGUACUUUAAGGUCCUAUAGAGUGAUGAAGUAGCAUACUGUACUUUAAGGUCCUAUAGAGUGAUGAAGUAGCAUACUGUACUUUAAGGUCCUAUAGAGUGAUGAAGUAGCAUACUGUACUUUAAGGUCCAAUAGAGUGAUGAAGUAGCAUACUGUACUUUAAGGUCCUA